UUCGAGAAACGUGUAUUCUAAGAAAUCCUUUGGAUGCUUUGCUAAAAACCAAUACAAAAUGGAAUUGGACAUUACAAUGUCAGAAACACUUCAAUAAAUUUAAAGAACUUUUGUAAUCGGAUCUGUUAUUAACGCACUAUAACCCUAGUUUGCCAAUUAAAGUAGCUGCCGACGCCUCUACUGUUGGCCUAGGUGCAUAUAUUUGCCAUAUAUACCCUGAUGGGAGUGAAAAGGCUAUAGCACAUGCUUCGAGAGCUCUUAGGCUGAGAAGAAUUAUUCUCAAAUUAAGAAGGCUUGGCUCUAGUGUUCGCAGUAGUAAAAUUUCAUAAAUACUUGUACGGUAGAGAAUUCUAUCUACAUACCGACCAUAAAGCAUUGCUUGCCAUCUUUGGUAAUAAGAAGGGGAUUCCUGCACACUCUGCAAACUGCCUUCAGCGAUGGGCUUUAACGUUAAUGUCGUACGAUUUUAUAUUGGAAUAUGUACCAACGAAAGAAUUUGGAGCUGCGGAUGUACUGUCAUGACUUAUUAGGAAUACAUCUAAGCCUAACGAAGACGCAGUCAUCGCUUGCUGCCAACUUGAACAGGAAGUGAAGCAAAUUGCUUCCAACGCCGUACAAAGUUUUCCGCUAACGCUUCCGAUGAUUCAAAAGGCCACGCAGAAAGAAGCGCUAUUACAGCAGGUUGUUAAGCUCCUCAAAAAUGGUAAGUGGCCAAAUACGAUGGAUGAAGACCUACGUAGUUUCUACAUACAUCGCGACGAGCUAAGCACGAUUGAAGGCUGUAAUAUGUGGAAAGAUCGGUUGGUUAUACCCAAGUGUUAUCGCCGAAGAAUUCUGAAAAGCUUAUACAGGGGCCAUCAAUUGAAUUGAGCGAACAAAAGCCCUGGCACGCAGCUACGUAUAUUGGCCGGGAAUUGACGAAGACAUCAAGCAAUAUAUUGUAGGAUGUGAUCGCUGUGGCCAAGACAUUACCAAAGACAAACCUUCUGGCCAGAAGCAGAUCACCCGAUGCAAAGAAUACAUAUUGACAUCGCGGAUCCAGUGAAUCAACUUUACUAUUUUGUAAUCAUCGAUGCGUACUCGAAAUGGCCACAGAUUUAAGUUAAGUCGAUAACGUCCACUAGUAUUUUAGACUGCAUGUCGGACUUCACGUCACAGUUUGGAGACCCUGAAUUAGUAGUCAGGGACAAUGGCACACAAUUUGCAAGUAAGACUUUUUCGAAUUUUUGCGUAAGCCGAGGUAUUUCUCACAAGUUCACAGCACCGUAUCAUCCGCAGUCCAACGGGCAAUCGGAACGCUCGUGGAUACCCUGAAAAGGGCACUGAAGAAAUUGGAUGGUGAAGGAACGCAGAAGCAAAUUUUACAAACAUUUCUGAGAACCAAAGGGCCAAAGAACGAGUUUACAAAAUUGACGAUUGUGUAUAUGCAAAACUUUAUAAGCUGACCAAAUCUUAUUGGGCGCCCGGAGCAAUCGCAAAAGUUCUCGGUAAGGUCAAUUACCAAGUUGAAAUCGAAAACUCAACAACCUUUAGAGCUGUAAAAUCGCACUCCAAUCAAUACACACUCAAUGCCAGCCGUUAGACAUUUUAUUUGAUUACUUUGACCUGUCAUAUAAACCAGCAUCAACAAUUAGCAGUUCAGACACUCGCACUGAAGAGCAACAUCAAAACGUCGCACAGGAAUAGACUCCGAGGAAUUUGUUUGAACAUCAAUCCUGUACGAACGCUGAAAGUCCUCCAAACCCACCAGUUCAAACACCCAGCAUCGAGCCGACAACCGACUCUCAUAAUCCAAUCCCAGAACCGUCGGUAGUUCCUCAAGAGCUGAGACGUUCAUCGAGACGCAAGAGAACUCCGGCCUGGGCUCCCGAUUACCAUCUUUUUAAAAGGAAGAAGGAUGUUGGCAACCCCAAAAAUGUAGACUUCUAUGCUCAUAUGUUUGUAGAAUAAGUAUCCGCUAUUUGUAUCCCGUUUCGUAGCUUACGGCGUAUUACUUCUUUUCUAUUCCGUAUGUCUACUAAUAAGCACGUUGCAGCGUAAUACGCGCUCUCUUGCACUUCUCUAGAUUUUGGGUGACUUGCAGCCUUAUGUACGCAAAAGUUCCAGUCCUGGGAGCAAAGCGAAUGGAUCAACAUCGCUUUGGGAAGGAGCACCGUACCAUUGUUGACGUUACCGACACAAUGUCGUGCGCGUGGAGUCGGUGAUGUACUAGGUAACGAUUAACUGGGGAUGAAGUAUCGAGAUGGUGAUCGCCAAUCGUGGUUAUUGGACGAUGCCGGGUAUGCUCUGGAACCUUUUCUGUUGACACCGUAUAUAAAUCCGUAGCCACGGUCUAUACAACACGCAUUUAAUCGAACACAUUCUUCCGCACGUAAUAUUAGAGUUCUCAAAAGUCGUUUUCAGUGUUUAUUAGUAACCUUGCUGUACAAACUAUGAGAGGUUGUGAAAAUAAUUAAUAAAUGACUGACUGAAUUUGACUAUGAA
This is a long non-coding RNA of Rhagoletis pomonella (apple maggot), 2484 nucleotides long. RefSeq lists it as uncharacterized. The transcript has 2 exons. The record is from RefSeq and is a predicted model, not a curated record. NCBI's taxonomy places the organism in Eukaryota, Metazoa, Arthropoda, Insecta, Diptera, Tephritidae.